GGCACCUACGGGAGGCAGCAGUGGGGAAUAUUGGGCAAUGGGCGCAAGCCUGACCCAGCAACGCCGCGUGAAGGAAGAAGGCUUUCGGGUUGUAAACUUCUUUUCUCAGGGGCGAAGCAAGUGACGGUACCUGAGGAAUAAGCCACGGCUAACUACGUGCCAGCAGCCGCGGUAAUACGUAGGUGGCAAGCGUUAUCCGGAUUUACUGGGUGUAAAGGGCGUGUAGGCGGGAAAGCAAGUCAGAUGUGAAAAACACGGGCUCAACCUGUGGCCUGCAUUUGAAACUGUUUUUCUUGAGUACCGGG
This 305-nucleotide ribosomal RNA is filed under the name uncultured bacterium. Its description in RNAcentral is "bacterial SSU rRNA". It matches the Rfam family "Bacterial small subunit ribosomal RNA", at positions 334 to 653 of the family's 1533-position model. The record is from RNAcentral.